CCCUUAGAUGUUCUGGGCCGCACGCGCGCUACACUGACGAAUGCAACGAGCUUAUAACCCUGGCCGAAAGGUCUGGGUAAUCUCCAAAUUUCGUCGUGAUGGGGAUAGAUUAUUGCAAUUAUUAAUCUUCAACGAGGAAUGCCUAGUAAGCGCAAGUCAUCAGCUUGCGUUGAUUACGUCCCUGCCCUUUGUACACACCGCCCGUCGCUCCUACCGAUUGAAUGGUCCGGUGAAGCGUUCGGACCGUGGCCUUUGGACGGUUCGCCGUCUGUUGGCUGCGGGAAGUUCGUUAAACCUUAUCAUUUAGAGGAAGGAGAAGUCGUAACA
This 327-nucleotide ribosomal RNA is filed under the name uncultured eukaryote. Its description in RNAcentral is "partial 18S ribosomal RNA". It matches the Rfam family "Eukaryotic small subunit ribosomal RNA", at positions 1470 to 1796 of the family's 1831-position model. The record is from RNAcentral.